CUCAUGUGCCAUAAAAUUUUAGGCAACUGCAAAGGAUAUGAAGAUUCUCUAGGAUCACGAUGAAACCCCACUCGGCUGCUAUUCAUAAUGGGCCGUUUUGGCGUUGCACGCAUUAUUGCAAGACUCGGUGCCGGGCCAAUUUGGUUACGACAAACCAGAGCAAGAAAAUAUCCACCGGCAGUCCGGUGCAUAGCCACAUUGCUGAUUAUCCCGAAUUGAUCGAGGGAAUAUAGUUGUGCGGGGCCAAGUUCACGCCAAACUACUAACAGGUUAUCCAUCUGGACAUCACUGGCGAAGCAUUUUUUGAAGACAACAACUUAAAACCGAAGAUUCGACGAUGACAGUUACAAUACUCUUUAAUUUUUUUUUUUGAUUGUUUUAAAUUGCCAAUUAAUAAAGUGAACUGUGAUAUCUA
Molecule: long non-coding RNA, 415 nt
Filed under: Aedes aegypti (yellow fever mosquito)
Lineage: Eukaryota; Metazoa; Arthropoda; Insecta; Diptera; Culicidae
Description: lncRNA AAEL026521
Source: RNAcentral